Non-coding RNA from Chiloscyllium plagiosum (whitespotted bambooshark), 370 nucleotides. The record is from RefSeq and is a predicted model, not a curated record. NCBI's taxonomy places the organism in Eukaryota, Metazoa, Chordata, Chondrichthyes, Orectolobiformes, Hemiscylliidae.
ACUUCAAGGUGGUGCGGACUUAACUGGUGUGACCAUCGUUGUGGUUUCGGUGCUUGUUGCAUUGGCAAUCAGUCUCGCCCUUGUCAUUUAUCGACGGAGCAGUGCUUUGCAACAAGAAACAGUCAGAGAGGUUACCAGCAACACCAAUGUAGAGUGACAUGCCACCAGUCAGCAAUUCUUUUUUUAAUUUCACCUAUUUUUCGAAUCAUCCUGCUCAAAGAUGUUAUUACACAGCUCUGGAGCAGGUGGGACUUGAACCCAGGCCUCCUGGUCUGGGGAUAUGAACACUACCACUGCACCACAAGAGGCCCUCACCAGUCACUUAUACAGUAUGGUUCACCCCUGUAAAGUGUGGGAAACUAACAACUCA